This 427-nucleotide ribosomal RNA is filed under the name uncultured prokaryote. RNAcentral describes it as "bacterial SSU rRNA". It matches the Rfam family "Bacterial small subunit ribosomal RNA", at positions 355 to 774 of the family's 1533-position model. The record is from RNAcentral.
UGGGGAAUUUUGGACAAUGGGCGAAAGCCUGAUCCAGCCAUGCCGCGUGCAGGAUGAAGGCCUUCGGGUUGUAAACUGCUUUUGUACGGAACGAAAAGACUCUGGUUAAUACCUGGGGUCCAUGACGGUACCGUAAGAAUAAGCACCGGCUAACUACGUGCCAGCAGCCGCGGUAAUACGUAGGGGGCAAGCGUUAAUCGGAAUUACUGGGCGUAAAGCGUGCGCAGGCGGUUAUAUAAGACAGAUGGGAAAUCCCCGGGCUCAACCUGGGAACUGCAUUUGUGACGGUAUAGCUAGAGUACGGCAGAGGGGGAUGGAAUUCCGCGUGUAGCAGUGAAAUGCGUAGAUAUGCGGAGGAACACCGAUUGCGAAGGCAAUCCCCUGGGCCUGUACUGACGCUCAUGCACGAAAGCGUGGGGAGCAAACA